GCGGACUGCUCAGUAACACGUGGAUAACCUGCCCUAAGGUGGAGGAUAACCCCGGGAAACUGGGGAUAAUACUCCAUAGGUUAAAGGUACUGGAAUGUUCUUUAACCGAAAGUUCCGGCGCCUUAGGAUGGAUCUGCGGCCGAUUAGGUUGUUGUUGGGGUAGUGGCCCAACAAGCCUGUAAUCGGUACGGGUUGUGGGAGCAAGAGCCCGGAGAUGGAAUCUGAGACACGAUUCCAGGCCCUACGGGGCGCAGCAGGCGCGAAAACUUUACAAUGCAGGAAACUGUGAUAAGGGAACCCCGAGUGCCCGUAUAUGCGGGCUGUCCGGAUGUUUAAAACGCAUCCGAAGAAAGGGCCGGGCAAGACCGGUGCCAGCCGCCGCGGUAAUACCGGCGGCUCGAGUGGUGGCCACUUUUAUUGGGCUUAAAGCGUUCGUAGCUUGAAUAAUAAGUCUCUUGGGAAAUCUGCAGGCUUAACCUGCAGGCGUUUAAGAGAAACUGUUGUUCUUGGAACCGGAAGAGGUGAGAGGUACUCCGGGGGUAGGAGUGAAAUCCUGUAAUCCCCGGGGGACCACCGAUGGCGAAGGCAUCUCACCAGGAC
This 600-nucleotide ribosomal RNA is filed under the name uncultured archaeon. RNAcentral's name for it is "bacterial SSU rRNA". It matches the Rfam family "Archaeal small subunit ribosomal RNA", at positions 81 to 686 of the family's 1478-position model. The record is from RNAcentral.